This 50-nucleotide non-coding RNA is filed under the name Anaerolinea thermophila. RNAcentral's name for it is "SAM-I sequence". It matches the Rfam family "SAM riboswitch aptamer (S box leader)", at positions 1 to 50 of the family's 108-position model. Rfam says of the family: The SAM riboswitch is found upstream of a number of genes which code for proteins involved in methionine or cysteine biosynthesis in Gram-positive bacteria. The SAM riboswitch acts at the level of transcription termination control. The record is from RNAcentral. Lineage: Bacteria; Bacillati; Chloroflexota; Anaerolineae; Anaerolineales; Anaerolineaceae.
AACUCAUCCAGAGAGGUGGAGGGACCGGCCCAAUGAUACCUCGGCAACCA